Molecule: long non-coding RNA, 384 nt
Organism: Oncorhynchus masou masou (cherry salmon)
Lineage: Eukaryota; Metazoa; Chordata; Actinopteri; Salmoniformes; Salmonidae
Exons: 4
Source: RefSeq, a predicted model, not a curated record
AGAGAUCAUAUUUACAGGGAGACAGGCAAGCUCAGAGAAAUCCAAAGAUGGGGAAUACCCAGUGUCCUUGAAAAGAAAGGAUUCACUAUCCUGAGGAAGGUAGAGAAUGGUGUCAUAGCUAAGGACAAAGAUGGCGACCAGUUUGUCAUUAAAGAGGUCAAACUGAAUGAGGCAUCAUACUCGUGUGCUGGAGACAUAUUCUCUGAGGUUGAAAUACUCCUGCAGAUAAAUCACUGCCAUAUUUUAAGGACUCUUUCCAAGAUAAAACAGAUAAAAGUUAUUACGAAGUGAUGGACCAUAGUGAGAGUGGAAAUCUCGCACAAAAGAUCAAAGAUGAGAACCAGAAGAACAGGUUUCUGAACUAAUAACAUAUUGGUUGUGUUC